UACGAAGGGGGCUAGCGUUGUUCGGAAUCACUGGGCGUAAAGCGCACGUAGGCGGACCUUCAAGUCAGGGGUGAAAUCCCGGGGCUCAACCUCGGAACUGCCUUUGAUACUGUUGGUCUUGAGUCCGGAAGAGGUGGGUGGAAUUCCUAGUGUAGAGGUGAAAUUCGUAGAUAUUAGGAAGAACACCGAUGGCGAAGGCAGCCCCCUGGGUCAAGAUUGACGCUCAUGCACGAAAGCGUGGGGAGCAAACAGG
This 253-nucleotide ribosomal RNA is filed under the name uncultured bacterium. RNAcentral's name for it is "partial 16S ribosomal RNA". It matches the Rfam family "Bacterial small subunit ribosomal RNA", at positions 524 to 776 of the family's 1533-position model. The record is from RNAcentral.